UCUCGCGCGUUCCACCUCCUUGGAACGGAUCCUUUCAGUGCCUGGCGUAGAUUAACUUUUGAUACGAGACCUCGCAGUCUCCGAGCGAGUCUCGAUUCGUACACGCUGGCUGGGACACGUCGCGAGCUACCGAUUAUCAAAUUUCUAUCAGCGACAGCGAAUUACUCGUAAAGCGCAACUUUACUGUCCGCCUGCUGCAAGCGCAGAGAGCUCGAAGGCGCCGCGCCAGCGAGGGAUAAAGGACGGGGAACCGGAAGAACAGGGUGGAAAUAAACGGGCAAACAGUCAGACAACGGCAGGAUUGCGGAUUUAUCCGCGGAUUAGAAACGAUGCGUUCCACAGCGAUGAUAACAGUGGCGUUCACCAUUUGCGUCGUCUGCAUUUUUACCGACCCUGCAUGCGCUUUCAGUAGAACUUUGGACAAGAACAUCCUCUACUCGCCGGAACAAGUCGAAUACAUCAAGCUCUCUACUGCAAUGUGUCCUGAUAACACAAUCUUGUGGCCAGCGAAUCGUCGAUGCUACAGAGAAGGUGAACAAGGUCCCUGCAAUAUCGGUCGCGUACUAACCUUGCAUCAGCAAUAUCUGAAACCUUACUGCAAGGAUCAGUGAAGCAAUAAAACGUAUAGAUAUUACUUUUGCCGGCUGCAUGCAACCCUAUCGAAGAUGGGGGCAGGUAUUCGAAACGACUAGUGGCGUGCUCAACUGAAAUAUUAGUCUGAUAAAUAAUAAUUAUGAAUUUUAAAAUAACGGUAUGCCUGUUUUGCGGUGCCAUCGUUGUCAAAUAAUUAUUUAACAGCAUUGUCUUCUUUUUAUUAAGAAAGAAUCGAUCAAUUCUGUGAUAGGAUUGAUUAUUUUCGUAUAGAUUAAUUUCGAGAGGCGGCAAGUACUUAAAUUUAAAAUCUCAAUUUUUAAAAUACGAAAUACUGAAUGCUGAACACUUCAGAGAUUACAGAAUUGUCCUAGUUUUCUUUUUAUAAAGAUUUCAAUGUCUACUUCUUAAGUUUUACAUAAAUAAUUUCGACGAGAACGAUCAGUUUACGUAUAGCAAAUUUAAUAGUUUAUCUCUAGUAGCUCCCACUUAUUUGGCAUAAUUUCAAUUUUAUUUUACCACGAAUUUAAGUACGUAGCUAAUUUAAAAUAUAUGUAUACAUACACUUGAUAUUACUAUGACGAAUAAUUGAAGGUGGCUAUAUGUAUAUUUAGUAUAUGAAUAGAGAAAUAAUUUUAACAGGUCGAAAUAAGGGAACAGUUCAUGCAAACAUGAGUUUGACUAUGCCUCGUUUCGUCGCUGGAGACGCUUAAAGUUUCAUAAAAAUACCUCAGGAUUAUAGAGUACCUUUCUGUUAAACAACUUCAGAACUCACUUUUAACACAACUGUAGUUAAUUAAUUAUUCAAUAAAUUGUCAUGGAAUAAUAUUCGGUAGUAGUUUCAAUGCAUACUGCAACAUGGCGGAUCCUUUCAUCGCCCAGCAUUUUUAAGUUUUUAUCCGACUUAUUUUUCACUAUCUACGAUUUCAAAAUACGUUUGGAUUAAUUUUUAAUAAAAAUGCAAAAGAAUAGACGAAUUUUACUAUCAAGGAACGAAAUAAAAGUUUAAGUGGUAAAAUUGUUCUCUUUUCUGGAAACUUUGAGCGACACCAGCGACACAAACGCCACUUUCGAAUUCAUAUUUAUAUAAACUUUUCUCAUUGCGCGCAAAUGAUGAGGCGAUAUCAGUAUUAGUAACAGUAAUAAAAUAUUCUACGUACUGUGACAUUUUGCGUUAAUAUUGGAAAAAAGUUUAUAUAUACAAAUAUCGUUUAAUUUAAGGCGAAGCAUUUCAGCUCUGAAGCAGGAUGAAAUGACCUAAACUAUAGACUGAAAUCAAAGAAUAACGUUUAGCGAACAAAUAUUGAACUUUACACAAAUUUACCGACACAAAGGCAAUAAAUACCAUGCGCAUGUAUUGCAUGAAUAUUUAUAAAAAUUCUAAAGAAGUAAGGAAUGUAAUUAUUAAUGACAAAUUUUAAGAUUAAAUUAUUCCCCCGAUACGUGAACUUAUGGUGAUUAAUCGAACCGUAACGAUGUGUGCGUUAUUUAAAUUUUCAGCACUGUAUCUGUUAUGUUUCAUUUUAUUAUAAAAGUAUAUUGCAGA
This is a long non-coding RNA of Colletes gigas, 2137 nucleotides long. RefSeq lists it as uncharacterized. NCBI's taxonomy places the organism in Eukaryota, Metazoa, Arthropoda, Insecta, Hymenoptera, Colletidae. The record is from RefSeq and is a predicted model, not a curated record. The transcript has 2 exons.